UACGUAGGUGGCAAGCGUUGUCCGGAAUUACUGGGCGUAAAGCGCGUGUAGGCUGCUUCGAAAGUCGGAUGUGAAAGCCCUGGGCUCAACCUAGGAAGUGCAUUCGAAACUUCGAAGCUUGAGUUCUGGAGAGGAAGGCGGAAUUCUCGGUGUAGAGGUGAAAUUCGUAGAUAUCGAGAGGAACACCGGUGGCGAAGGCGGCCUUCUGGACAGUGACUGACGCUGAGACGCGAAAGCGUGGGGAGCAAACAGG
This 253-nucleotide ribosomal RNA is filed under the name uncultured bacterium. RNAcentral's name for it is "partial 16S ribosomal RNA". It matches the Rfam family "Bacterial small subunit ribosomal RNA", at positions 524 to 776 of the family's 1533-position model. The record is from RNAcentral.